This 259-nucleotide long non-coding RNA is filed under the name Durio zibethinus. Its description in RNAcentral is "long non-coding RNA (DZIB_LNC000134)". Lineage: Eukaryota; Viridiplantae; Streptophyta; Magnoliopsida; Malvales; Malvaceae. The record is from RNAcentral.
AUGGAGUUAAUUUUUCAUUGUUGACAAACAGUAUAUCAAGAUUCAAAUUUUAGAAAUUGCAUCAUCCUUGAUGACAAAUAGGUUAUCUAAGCUAUCGGUUUCAUCAAUUAUCAGACAUAAAAUGCUUCAAAAGCAUGACGUUCCAUCUGGUUUGGAUUAAAAAUCCUAUCUUGAUCCUUAUUAACACAUAAUUAUUAGAUUAAAUUACCAAUUAACAACAAAACUGGAAGAGUAAGACGCAAAUACCACCAACCAAAUU